RNAcentral lists this ribosomal RNA (433 nucleotides) under uncultured bacterium. Its description in RNAcentral is "partial 16S ribosomal RNA". It matches the Rfam family "Bacterial small subunit ribosomal RNA", at positions 29 to 507 of the family's 1533-position model. The record is from RNAcentral.
AACGAACGCUGGCGGCAUGCCUAACACAUGCAAGUCGAACGAGACCUUCGGGUCUAGUGGCGCACGGGUGCGUAACGCGUGGGAACCUGCCCUUAGGUUCGGAAUAACUCCCCGAAAGGGGUGCUAAUACCGGAUAAUGUCUUCGGACCAAAGAUUUAUCGCCUUUGGAUGGGCCCGCGUUGGAUUAGCUAGUUGGUAGGGUAAAAGCCUACCAAGGCGACGAUCCAUAGCUGGUCUGAGAGGAUGAUCAGCCACACUGGGAAUGAGACACGGCCCAGACUCCUACGAGAGGCAGCAGUGGGGAAUAUUGGACAAUGGGCGAAAGCCUGAUCCAGCAAUGCCGCGUGAGUGAUGAAGGCCUUAGGGUUGUAAAGCUCUUUUACCCGGGAUGAUAAUGACAGUACCGGGAGAAUAAGCGCCGGCUAACUCCGUG